Picea glauca (white spruce) is the source of this 116-nucleotide non-coding RNA. Lineage: Eukaryota; Viridiplantae; Streptophyta; Pinopsida; Pinales; Pinaceae. The record is from Rfam.
AGCUAUUUAUUUAGCCAAGGAUGACUUGCCGACAGCGUGCUAUCAGUUUCUGCUGCUUGUGCGGAUAUUGAUUUUGAGUUUCUGGGCAAGUUGUCAUUGGCUAAAUAUUUUGCUCU